This 253-nucleotide ribosomal RNA is filed under the name uncultured bacterium. RNAcentral's name for it is "partial 16S ribosomal RNA". It matches the Rfam family "Bacterial small subunit ribosomal RNA", at positions 524 to 776 of the family's 1533-position model. The record is from RNAcentral.
UACGGAGGGUACGAGCGUUGUCCGGAAUCACUGGGCGUAAAGGGCGCGUAGGCGGCCUGAUAAGUAGGGGGUGAAAUCCUGCGGCUUAACCGCAGGGCUGCCUUCUAAACUGUCAGGCUGGAGCACAGUAGAGGCAGGUGGAAUUCCCGGUGUAGCGGUGAAAUGCGCAGAUAUCAGGAGGAACACCGGUGGCGAAGGCGGGUCUCUGGGCCGAUAUUGACGCUGAGGAGCGAAAGCGUGGGGAGCGAACAGG